RNAcentral lists this long non-coding RNA (214 nucleotides) under Elaeis guineensis (African oil palm). Its description in RNAcentral is "long non-coding RNA (EGUI_LNC017213)". The record is from RNAcentral. Lineage: Eukaryota; Viridiplantae; Streptophyta; Magnoliopsida; Arecales; Arecaceae.
UCUUACAAAUCUCAUCGGACUUCUCCUUUUCUACUAAAAUUGAUAGAUUCCAUUUAGGUGCAUCCUACUCCAAACAGCGAACCUGAACCUACAUAGCCAACAUACACAGCAAGGAUCCAUAUGGCUAGUGACCAAGGGAACGUGUAGUCAAAUUAUGUAGUCUUGCUGUGAAUAGCCAACACACCACAGGUUAAAGGACCAGUCGCACCACUGC